Molecule: ribosomal RNA, 850 nt
Filed under: uncultured bacterium
Lineage: Bacteria
Description: bacterial SSU rRNA
Rfam family: Bacterial small subunit ribosomal RNA
Source: RNAcentral
UAAUUGGGGGAACGCGGUGCAUGCCCCCGGCCCGCCUGGCGGCCGCGGGAAUUCGAUUAGAGUUUGAUUAUGGCUCACGCUCUUAAAGUGGCGGCGUGCCUAACACAUGCAAGUCGAACGGCCUUAUCCCGUCGAUGCGAUUUCGGUCAAGUCAAAGGAUGUUUUAGUGGCGGACGGGUGAGUAACGCGUGGGCAACCUGCCUUACACCGGGGGAUAACACUUAGAAAUAGGUGCUAAUACCGCAUAACAGGAGAACAUGCAUGUGUUUUCCUUGAAAACCACGGUGGUGUAAGAUGGACCCGCGUCUGAUUAGCUUGUUGGCAGGGUAACGGCCUACCAAGGCGACGAUCAGUAGCCGGCCUGAGAGGGUGGACGGCCACAUUGGGACUGAGACACGGCCCAGACUCCUACGGGAGGCAGCAGUGGGGAAUAUUGCACAAUGGGGGAAACCCUGAUGCUGCGACGCCGCGUGAGUGAAGAAGUAUUUCGGUAUGUAAAGCUCUGUCAGCAGGGAAGAAAAUGACGGUACCUGACCAAGAAGCCCCGGCUAACUACGUGCCAGCAGCCGCGGUAAUACGUAGGGGGCACGCGUUAUCCGGAUUUACUGGGUGUAAAGGGAGCGCAGACGGCAGUGCAAGUCCGGAGUGAAAGCCCGGGGCCCAUCCCCCGGGACUGCUCUGGAAACUGUACGGCUGGAUUGCCGGACAGGUAAGCGCAAUUCCUAGUGUACCGGUGAAAUGUUUAUAUAUUAUGAGGAACACCAGUGGCGAAGGCGGCUUACUGGACCGGAAUUGACGUUUAGGCUUUAAUGUGUGGGGAGCAAACAGGAUUAAAUACCCUGUUAUUCCC